This 450-nucleotide ribosomal RNA is filed under the name uncultured bacterium. Its description in RNAcentral is "partial 16S ribosomal RNA". It matches the Rfam family "Bacterial small subunit ribosomal RNA", at positions 354 to 796 of the family's 1533-position model. The record is from RNAcentral.
GUGGGGAAUAUUGGACAAUGGGCGAAAGCCUGAUCCAGCCAUGCCGCGUGUAUGAAGAAGGUCUUCGGAUUGUAAAGCACUUUAAGUUGGGAGGAAGGGCAGUAAGUUAAUACCUUGCUGUUUUGACGUUACCAACAGAAUAAGCACCGGCUAACUUCGUGCCAGCAGCCGCGGUAAUACGAAGGGUGCAAGCGUUAAUCGGAAUUACUGGGCGUAAAGCGCGCGUAGGUGGUUCAGCAAGUUGAAGGUGAAAUCCCCGGGCUCAACCUGGGAACUGCCUCCAAAACUACUGAGCUAGAGUACGGUAGAGGGUAGUGGAAUUUCCUGUGUAGCGGUGAAAUGCGUAGAUAUAGGAAGGAACACCAGUGGCGAAGGCGACUACCUGGACUGAUACUGACACUGAGGUGCGAAAGCGUGGGGAGCAAACAGGAUUAGAAACCCGAGUAGUCC